RNAcentral lists this ribosomal RNA (597 nucleotides) under uncultured bacterium. RNAcentral describes it as "bacterial SSU rRNA". It matches the Rfam family "Bacterial small subunit ribosomal RNA", at positions 341 to 929 of the family's 1533-position model. The record is from RNAcentral.
ACGGGAGGCAGCAGUAGGGAAUCUUCGGCAAUGGACGGAAGUCUGACCGAGCAACGCCGCGUGAGUGAAGAAGGUUUUCGGAUCGUAAAGCUCUGUUGUAAGAGAAGAACGAGUGUGAGAGUGGAAAGUUCACACUGUGACGGUAUCUUACCAGAAAGGGACGGCUAACUACGUGCCAGCAGCCGCGGUAAUACGUAGGUCCCGAGCGUUGUCCGGAUUUAUUGGGCGUAAAGCGAGCGCAGGCGGUUAGAUAAGUCUGAAGUUAAAGGCUGUGGCUUAACCAUAGUACGCUUUGGAAACUGUUUAACUUGAGUGCAAGAGGGGAGAGUGGAAUUCCAUGUGUAGCGGUGAAAUGCGUAGAUAUAUGGAGGAACACCGGUGGCGAAAGCGGCUCUCUGGCUUGUAACUGACGCUGAGGCUCGAAAGCGUGGGGAGCAAACAGGAUUAGAUACCCUGGUAGUCCACGCCGUAAACGAUGAGUGCUAGGUGUUAGACCCUUUCCGGGGUUUAGUGCCGCAGCUAACGCAUUAAGCACUCCGCCUGGGGAGUACGACCGCAAGGUUGAAACUCAAAGGAAUUGACGGGGGCCCGCACAAG